Molecule: ribosomal RNA, 498 nt
Filed under: uncultured bacterium
Lineage: Bacteria
Description: partial 16S ribosomal RNA
Rfam family: Bacterial small subunit ribosomal RNA
Source: RNAcentral
GGAUGAACGCUGGCGGCGUGCCUACUCCAUGCAAGUCGAGCGAACGGACGAGAAGCUUGCUUCUCUGAUGUUAGCGGCGGACGGAUGAGUAACACGUGGAUAACCUACCUAUAAGACUGGGAUAACUUCGGGAAACCGGAGCUAAUACCGGAUAAUAUUUUGAACCGCAUGGUUCAAAAGUGAAAGACGGUCUUGCUGUCACUUAUAGAUGGAUCCGCGCUGCAUUAGCUAGUUGGUAAGGUAACGGCUUACCAAGGCAACGAUGCAUAGCCGACCUGAGAGGGUGAUCGGCCACACUGGAGCUGAGACACGGUCCAGACUCCUACGGGAGGCAGCAGUAGGGAAUCUUCCGCAAUGGGCGAAAGCCUGACGGAGCAACGCCGCGUGAGUGAUGAAGGUCUUCGGAUCGUAAAGCUCUGUUAUUAGGGAAGAACAUAUGUGUAAGUAACUGUGCACAUCUUGACGGUACCUAAUCAGAAAGCCACGGCUAACUACGUG